UCUCAUUUUCUCGCGCGAUCCCAGGCAGCUCCGGCUUCGCGGCCAGCCCGCGCGCGGCGGCGUGGUGCUAGUGGUAAAGCCCGCCGUCGGCGCCGUCCAAGUCCAGCAACACGGAGGUGAGGUGAGGCGGUGCUGCAGAGGGAGGGGACGAAGGCCAUGAAGGAGCUGGCGACCUGAGUGACCUGACCACGAACGGCGGCGGCGGCGGCGGCGGCUACUACGCCGGCGUUGACUCGACAAGGCGAUAACCCAGGAGGCCACGACGUCGAGCAGACUUAUCAGAGCAUGCCGGCUCCUGAUUAUAUUUGCAUACCAUCUGUCCAUCUCCCAACUGAAUGAGCACCAGCGUAACAGAGAUUUUCAGAAGAUAUGAGGAACCAGAGGCGGGAUUGUGAUCAAUGGCAACUGGUGGCUGAGCCGUGAAGAUUAGCUUGCUAGGAUACAGUACAACACGUGGUUUAAAAUAAAGAAGGGCAUCUAUUUCAAAAAAGAUAGAAGAAGGAAGGCGGUCAGAAGGGCAUAUUAUUGCAGGCUUUUGACGAAAGAUAGGAAUAAGUGCGAAGCUUUCCAAUUAUUGAGCUAAAUUUUGGAACAACUUCAUCUUUAUCCAAAUGAAAUUACGAGAUCAAGGUGCCUUUUGUGUAAAUAUAUCAGGGAAGGAAUUAAGCAUGAUACUACUGCCUUGUCA
Molecule: long non-coding RNA, 688 nt
Organism: Panicum virgatum (switchgrass)
Lineage: Eukaryota; Viridiplantae; Streptophyta; Magnoliopsida; Poales; Poaceae
Exons: 3
Source: RefSeq, a predicted model, not a curated record